RNAcentral lists this long non-coding RNA (493 nucleotides) under Salmo salar (Atlantic salmon). RNAcentral describes it as "lncRNA (ENSSSAG00000095172.1)". The record is from RNAcentral. Lineage: Eukaryota; Metazoa; Chordata; Actinopteri; Salmoniformes; Salmonidae.
AACUAGGGCCUGUAGGACCUGCCUUGUUGAUAGUGUUGUUAAGAAGGUAGAAACUAGGGCCUGUAGGACCUGCCUUGUUGAUAGUGUUGUUAAGAAGGUAGAAACUAGGGCCUGUAGGACCUGCCUUGUUGAUAGUGUUGUUAAGAAGGUAGAAACUAGGGCCUGUAGGACCUGCCUUGUUGAUAGUGUUGUUAAGAAGGUAGAAACUAGGGCCUGUAGGACCUGCCUUGUUGGUAGUGUUGUUAAGAAGGUAGAAACUAGGGCCUGUAGGACCUGCCUUGUUGAUAGUGUUGUUAAGAAGGCAGAGCAGUGCUUUAUUAUAGACAGACUUCUCCCCAUCUUAGCUACUGUUGUAUCAAUAUGUUUUGACCAGGACAGUUUACAAUCCAGGGUUACUCCAAGCAGUUUAGUCACCUCAACUUGCUCAAUUUCCACAUUAUUUAUUACAAGAUUUAGUUGAGUUUUAGGGUUUAGUGAAAGAUUUGUCCCAAAU